GAAGGGCUGCAGCCCUAACACGGAGAAGCGCUCUAAGAGCCUGGAGGCGGGACCAAUUUAUGACUGACGUCUACCCACACCCAUUGUUUUUCUGAUUCCUUCUCAAACAAACCAAUGAAUGCGACGACGGAGACAGCAGCGUGCCCCAGGCGCUAGAAGUGGCUCUGCCCCUUCUACUUUGCUGCCCUUUGGUCGCCAUGCUUAGUGUGGCUACUGCCUCUGUGCUACUUGAGGCGGUCCUACGGCUUUUCGAUGCCUUCGAUGAACCUCUAUCUAAGCACUUCUUCCCUUUCACCGCCAACUCCCACCUCCUCGGGUUUCUAGCUCGCUCACUUUAUAUCCAGCCACACUGGAGAUGGCGGCCGGAGGCGGGCCCGAGGUGGGGCGUGACCAGCGCGGUGGCGUCAGCGCGCUGCGUGUCGGCAGGGAGUGGAGCAACUGCUGUAGUCCAAGCAGCUUAUUGUGCCCCUA
RNAcentral lists this small RNA (471 nucleotides) under Pongo abelii (Sumatran orangutan). RNAcentral describes it as "processed transcript". Lineage: Eukaryota; Metazoa; Chordata; Mammalia; Primates; Hominidae. The record is from RNAcentral.